UACGAAGGGGGCUAGCGUUGUUCGGAAUUACUGGGCGUAAAGCGCACGUAGUCGGAUUAGUAAGUCAGGGGUUAAAUCCUGAGGCUCAACCUCGGAACUUCCUUUGAUACUGCUGAUCUCGAGUCCGGAAGAGGUGAGUGGAAUUCCUAGUGUAGAGGUGAAAUUCGUAGUUAUUAGGAAGAACACCAGUGGCGAAGGAGGCUCACUGGUCCGGUACUGACGCUGAGGUGCGAAAGCGUGUGGAGCAAACAGG
Molecule: ribosomal RNA, 253 nt
Filed under: uncultured bacterium
Lineage: Bacteria
Description: partial 16S ribosomal RNA
Rfam family: Bacterial small subunit ribosomal RNA
Source: RNAcentral